AGAGUUUGAUCCUGGCUCAGGAUGAACGCUAGCUACAGGCUUAACACAUGCAAGUCGAGGGGCAUCGCGGUGCAGCAAUGCACUGGCGGCGACCGGCGCACGGGUGAGUAACGCGUAUCCGACCUGGCCUUCACUCGGGUAUAGCCCCUCGAAAGAGGGAUUAAUCCCCGAUAUGUGGGAGAGUUACAUGGCGCUCCCACGAAAGCGUAACGGUGAAGGAUGGGGAUGCGUCCCAUUAGGUUGUUGGCGGGGUAACGGCCCACCAAGCCGACGAUGGGUAGGGGUACUGAGAGGUAGGUCCCCCACAUUGGAACUGAGACACGGUCCAAACUCCUACGGGAGGCAGCAGUGAGGAAUAUUGGUCAAUGGGCGAGAGCCUGAACCAGCCAAGUAGCGUGAAGGAAGACUGCCCUAUGGGUUGUAAACUUCUUUUGUGCGGGGGUAAAGUGGUCCACGCGUGGUCCAUUGCAAGUACCGUACGAAUAAGCAUCGGCUAACUCCGUGCCAGCAGCCGCGGUAAUACGGAGGAUGCGAGCGUUAUCCGGAUUUAUUGGGUUUAAAGGGAGCGUAGGCGGGCGAUUAAGUCAGCGGUUAAAUAGUGUGGCUCAACCAUGCCUUGCCGUUGAUACUGGUUGUCUUGAGAGUACUAGAGGUGGAUGGAAUUUAGGGUGUAGCGGUGAAAUGCUUAGAUAUCCUAAAGAACUCCGAUUGCGAAGGCAGUCCACUGGGGUACGUCUGACGCUGAAGCUCGAAAGUGCGGGUAUCAAACAGGAUUAGAUACCCUGGUAGUCCGCACAGUAAACGAUGAUUACUCGCUGUUGGCGACAGACAGGCCACCGGCCAAGCGAAAGCAAUAAGUAAUCCCCCCGGGGAGUACGCCGGCAACGGUGAAACUCAAAGGAAUUGACGGGGGCCCGCACAAGCGGAGGAACAUGUGGUUUAAUUCGAUGAUACGCGAGGAACCUUACCCGGGCUUGAACUUGGCAGGAAAGAUCCAGAGAUGGUGAUGUCCUUCGGGACCUGUCGAGAGGUGCUGCAUGGUUGUCGUCAGCUCGUGCCGUGAGGUGUCGGCUUAAGUGCCAUAACGAGCGCAACCCUUGCCGUCAGUUGCCAUCAGUAAAAGCUGGGCACUCUGUCGGGACUGCCAUCGUAAGAUGUGAGGAAGGUGGGGAUGACGUCAAAUCAGCACGGCCCUUACGUCCGGGGCGACACACGUGUUACAAUGGUGACUACAGAGGGAUGCCACCCGGCGACGGGGAGCGGAUCUCGAAAAGUCAUCUCUGUUCGGAUUGGAGUCUGCAACUCGACUCCAUGAAGCUGGAUUCGCUAGUAAUCGCGCAUCAGCCAUGGCGCGGUGAAUAAGUUCCCUGGGCCUUGUACACACCGCCCGUCA
Molecule: ribosomal RNA, 1393 nt
Filed under: uncultured bacterium
Lineage: Bacteria
Description: 16S ribosomal RNA
Rfam family: Bacterial small subunit ribosomal RNA
Source: RNAcentral